This 1379-nucleotide long non-coding RNA is filed under the name Marmota monax (woodchuck). Lineage: Eukaryota; Metazoa; Chordata; Mammalia; Rodentia; Sciuridae. The record is from RNAcentral.
AACUGAGUCUGCCUUCUCCUUUGAACUCCUUGCUAACCAUGAAGGCAUGCUUCAGAGAGCUAUCCUCAUUAACAUUCCAGGUCCCUCUUCCCUGUCAGCAAUAAACAAGCCCUGCAUCAAUGGCCUUCUUCCUUCCAGCUUUACAAAUGAGUGGCUCAGUUCCAUGUUUUACUGCGGAUCCAGGUGCCCAGGCAUACAACGCUGGGCUAAGAAGCACGCAGGAGAGUCUAAAAAUAGAACAGCAGUUUUGGACGCAUACCAGAGCAGCUACUUCAUCUCAACUUGCUUUGCACACUAAGCCUAAUGGGAUCCAUCAGGCGGGAGUUCUCUUGUGCACUCUCUCUCACCGCCUUUCCCCUCUCUCCCCAGCUGCCUUCUACCAUCAGCACCUUCCUGGUGAAGGGAGCAAAGGGAGGUCAGGCAGGGUUCAAAAAUAGUGUGCCCUCAUGGUUUUAGUUUACAAGCCCCGAGAGACCUGGGAGCUGCAAUUACUCCUUUCUUGAGAGAAUUUCUAGAAAAGAACAGGAGGCCCAGCACACGGUCACCUUUGCCCAUGUACACUUUGGUCCAAAACCAAGACUGUCAUAUUUAGCAAAGGCUCAAGUAGCAUUUCCUAAUCUCUCAAAUAAAUGUGACCUAGGCCCAUACUUACAGAUUCCUUGAGAAGUUAAAUAGAAAACUUGACUAAACUGACUAUUCCUCUUAAAGGUACCACCUGCUUGGCUUGAGGCUAAGAACUUGAGAUCAAAUACACAGUCACAUAUGGAGGGACUGUCUAGGGUCUGUGAAAGCCACCCUCCUUCCACCAAGUAUCCUAAUGCUAUCCUGCCUGGGCACAAGGCCUCUCAGAAUGCCAACUGUACUAAAUAAGCAAGGCUCCUUUGUGCUGUGGAUACACCUCAUGAUAAAGAAUACUGAUCACAGAAAGAGACUUAGCAUGACCCGAGUAUUUCUUCUAUUACUAUCUGCAAGAUAAUGCAGAUGUUCCAAACAGGGAUGUAUUAUUCCAACAAGUGCCACCCUUGUAGAGUCAGAGUAUGAGAAAGAUUGAGUAUCACAGAAACUAAAAUAUAAACCCCUUUUUCAUUUUAAUUGUUUUGGAGAUUAGCCAGAUACAUUUUUAAAAAAUUGAUCCAACAGCAGAUUUUGUCUACUAGCUUUGUGAUGGUGUUAAGGCCUUUUAAGUUAUAACUUGGUUUCACAUAAUACCAUUACAAAACAAAUAUGCCAAACCACCUCAAGAAAAGCCAUCCUCCAUAUAAUCAGCAAUAAUUAAUUCCCCUAAGAAUUUCUCUCAGAACAAGUUGCAACACGAUCAUUUAAUCCUCCAGCCACCAGAGGACAGAGGUACAUCUUCCCUCAGGCCCCCCACAUUCGUU